This 73-nucleotide transfer RNA is filed under the name Anguilla anguilla (European eel). Its description in RNAcentral is "tRNA-OTHER". Lineage: Eukaryota; Metazoa; Chordata; Actinopteri; Anguilliformes; Anguillidae. The record is from RNAcentral.
GGCACGGUGGUGCAGUGGGUAGCACUCUCGCCUCGCAGCAAGAAGGUCCUGGGUUCGAGGUCCCUCCGGGUUC